Long non-coding RNA from Syngnathus acus (greater pipefish), 387 nucleotides. RefSeq lists it as uncharacterized. The transcript is spliced from 2 exons. NCBI's taxonomy places the organism in Eukaryota, Metazoa, Chordata, Actinopteri, Syngnathiformes, Syngnathidae. The record is from RefSeq and is a predicted model, not a curated record.
CCCGACUCUAAAGGACAGCUCUGGACGUCAUUUUGAGGCAUCAAAGACGGCAGAGUCAUCAGAGUCACGUGAUAGCGCCCAAAUCAUACCCCCCUCCGGCCGACAGGAGGUUGUCAAGAGCAUAGAGAUGGAAGAGGAAGCAUCCACAGACAAAGAAUUAGCGGAGGCUUUAUCUGUUUACGAGGACGAUAAACUUCCUCAAGAGUCGAUAAACAAAGUCAGAGUUAAGCGUAGUGACACAGGACGGUUUCAAAGAACGAGAAAGAGCAGACGUGCAGCCUUCCACAACACGCGUCACUCAACCACCAAGGUGUCUGAGUCGACAAGCGAGAGCCAUCACCACAAGACAAGGCGUCCUAUAAAGUGCAGUGGUAACUGUAUUUACAA